UGAGGAAUCUUCCGCAAUGGACGAAAGUCUGACGGAGCGACGCCGCGUGGUGGAUGAAGGCCUUUACUGGUCGUAAACACCUGUUCUGAGGGACGAAAUUUUUGACGGUACCUCAGGAGAAAGUAUCGGCAAACCCUGUGCCAGCAGCCGCGGUAAUACAGGGGAUACAAGCGUUACUCGGAAUUACUGGGCGUAAAGCGUCUGUAGGUUCUUGCAAAAGUCUGGGGUAAAAACUCAGUGCUUAACACU
Molecule: ribosomal RNA, 249 nt
Filed under: uncultured bacterium
Lineage: Bacteria
Description: partial 16S ribosomal RNA
Rfam family: Bacterial small subunit ribosomal RNA
Source: RNAcentral